This is a non-coding RNA of Ameiurus melas (black bullhead), 92 nucleotides long. NCBI's taxonomy places the organism in Eukaryota, Metazoa, Chordata, Actinopteri, Siluriformes, Ictaluridae. The record is from the annotation of a GenBank genome assembly.
CCUUCGAUAAGCUCAGUUGGUAGAGCCGGAGGACUGUAGGUACUUAAACUAGUCAUCCUCAGGUCGCUGGUUCGAUUCCGCCGGUCGAAGGA